RNAcentral lists this ribosomal RNA (490 nucleotides) under uncultured bacterium. RNAcentral describes it as "partial 16S ribosomal RNA". It matches the Rfam family "Bacterial small subunit ribosomal RNA", at positions 28 to 507 of the family's 1533-position model. The record is from RNAcentral.
GAUGAACGCUAGCGAUAGGCUUAACACAUGCAAGUCGAGGGGCAGCAUGGUCUUAGCUUGCUAAGACUGAUGGCGACCGGCGCACGGGUGCGUAACGCGUAUGCAACUUGCCUCACAGAGGGGGAUAACCCGUCGAAAGACGGACUAAUACCGCGUACACUUGGGAUAGGGCAUCCUGACCCAAGGAAAUGAAAUUCGCUGUGAGAUAGGCAUGCGUCCCAUUAGCUAGUUGGUGAGGUAACGGCUCACCAAGGCGACGAUGGGUAGGGGAACUGAGAGGUUGAACCCCCACACUGGUACUGAGACACGGACCAGACUUCUACGGGAGGCAGCGGUGAGGAAUAUUGGUCAAUGGGCGAGAGCCUGAACCAGCCAAGUCGCGUGAAGGAUGACUGUCUUAUGGAUUGUAAACUUCUUUUAUACGGGAAUAACAAGAGCCACGUGUGGCUCCCUGCAUGUACCGUAUGAAUAAGCAUCGGCUAACUCCGUG